This 496-nucleotide ribosomal RNA is filed under the name uncultured bacterium. RNAcentral describes it as "partial 16S ribosomal RNA". It matches the Rfam family "Bacterial small subunit ribosomal RNA", at positions 29 to 507 of the family's 1533-position model. The record is from RNAcentral.
AUGAACGCUGGCGGCGUGCCUAAUCCAUGCAAGUCGCGCGAACGGACGAGAAGCUUGCUUCUCUGAUGUUAGCGGCGGACGGGUGAGUAACACGUGGAUAACCUACCUAUAAGACUGGGAUAACUUCGGGAAACCGUAGCUAAUACCGGAUAAUAUUUUGAACCGCAUGGUUCAAAAGUGAAAGACGGUCUUGCUGUCACUUAUAGAUGGAUCCGCGCUGCAUUAGCUAGUUGGUAAGGUAACGGCUUACCAAGGCAACGAUGCAUAGCCGACCUGAGAGGGUGAUCGGCCACACUGGAACUGAGACACGGUCCAGACUCCUACGGGAGGCAGCAGUAGGGAAUCUUCCGCAAUGGGCGAAAGCCUGACGGAGCAACGCCGCGUGAGUGAUGAAGGUCUUCGGAUCGUAAAACUCUGUUAUUAGGGAAGAACAUAUGUGUAAGUAACUGUGCACAUCUUGACGGUACCUAAUCAGAAAGCCACGGCUAACUACGUG